RNAcentral lists this ribosomal RNA (422 nucleotides) under uncultured bacterium. RNAcentral describes it as "bacterial SSU rRNA". It matches the Rfam family "Bacterial small subunit ribosomal RNA", at positions 355 to 774 of the family's 1533-position model. The record is from RNAcentral.
UAAGGAAUAUUGGACAAUGGAGGCAACUCUGAUCCAGCCAUGCCGCGUGAAGGAAUAAGGCCCUAUGGGUUGUAAACUUCUUUUAGACGGGACAAAACCCCUUUACGUGUAAAGGGUUGAUGGUACUGUCAGAAUAAGCAUCGGCUAACUUCGUGCCAGCAGCCGCGGUAAUACGAAGGAUGCAAGCGUUAUCCGGAAUUAUUGGGUUUAAAGGGUGCGUAGGCGGACUAAUAAGUCAGUGGUGAAAGCCUGCAGCUUAACUGCAGAAUUGCCAUUGAUACUGUUAGUCUUGAGUACAGUUGAGGUAGGCGGAAUGUGUCAUGUAGCGGUGAAAUGCUUAGAUAUGACACAGAACACCGAUUGCGAAGGCAGCUUCCUAAGCUGUAACUGACGCUGAGGCACGAAAGCGUGGGGAGCAAACA